AUGUACCGCGCCUACACUGCGAUUCCGAUCGCGCUGGCCAUGCCCACCCGACGACUGCUCGCGACGCUCUGUUCUCC
Molecule: small RNA, 77 nt
Filed under: Xanthomonas campestris pv. heliotropii
Lineage: Bacteria; Pseudomonadati; Pseudomonadota; Gammaproteobacteria; Lysobacterales; Lysobacteraceae
Description: sX9 sRNA
Rfam family: Xanthomonas sRNA sX9
Source: RNAcentral